Molecule: non-coding RNA, 117 nt
Filed under: unclassified sequences
Description: Betaproteobacteria-1 RNA
Rfam family: Betaproteobacteria-1 RNA
Source: Rfam by way of RNAcentral
CGUCUAGCUGUCGGGGGAACAAACGGCAGGGCUAGAGGAAAGCUGGUACUGUGGGAAAGUGUUGAGAUACCAGAAGGGGUGGCGAAGCUAGUGCCCCUACACGCAAGACUGGCGAGU